UCGGGAAUUUUGCGCAAUGGGGGAAACCCUGACGCAGCAAUACCGCGUGUGGGAUGAAGGCCUUCGGGUCGUAAACCACUUUUUUCGGGGACGAUAAUGACGGUACCCGAAGAAUAAGCCACGGCUAACUACGUG
RNAcentral lists this ribosomal RNA (135 nucleotides) under uncultured bacterium. Its description in RNAcentral is "partial 16S ribosomal RNA". It matches the Rfam family "Bacterial small subunit ribosomal RNA", at positions 355 to 507 of the family's 1533-position model. The record is from RNAcentral.